Molecule: ribosomal RNA, 254 nt
Filed under: uncultured bacterium
Lineage: Bacteria
Description: partial 16S ribosomal RNA
Rfam family: Bacterial small subunit ribosomal RNA
Source: RNAcentral
UACGGGGGGAGCAAGCGUUGUUCGGAUUUACUGGGCGUAAAGGGCGCGUAGGCGGCCAGCACAAGUCAGUUGUGAAAUCUCCGAGCUUAACUCGGAAAGGUCAACUGAUACUGUGCGGCUAGAGUGCGGAAGGAGCAACUGGAAUUCUUGGUGUAGCGGUGAAAUGCGUAGAUAUCAGGAGGAACACCAGCGGCGAAGGCGGCGCUCUGGGCCGGAACUGACGCUGAGGAGCGAAAGCGUGGGUAGCAAACAGG